AACGCACAUUGCGCCCCUUGGUAUUCCGGGGGGCAUGCCUGUUCGAGCGUCAUUUCAACCCUCAAGCCUAGCUUGGUCUUGGGCUCUGCCGGCAACGGCUGGCCUUAAAAUCAGUGGCGGUGCCAUCGAGCUCUACGCGUAGUAAUUAAACCCUCGCGUGUGAGUCCCGGUGACUACUUGCCAACAACCCUCAUUUUUUAUGGUUGACCUCGGAUCAGGUAGGGAUACCCGCUGAACUUAA
RNAcentral lists this unclassified non-coding RNA (241 nucleotides) under Rhytismatales sp. RNAcentral's name for it is "partial contains 5.8S ribosomal RNA, internal transcribed spacer 2, and large subunit ribosomal RNA". The record is from RNAcentral. Lineage: Eukaryota; Fungi; Ascomycota; Leotiomycetes; Rhytismatales.